This 397-nucleotide ribosomal RNA is filed under the name uncultured bacterium. RNAcentral describes it as "bacterial SSU rRNA". It matches the Rfam family "Bacterial small subunit ribosomal RNA", at positions 144 to 518 of the family's 1533-position model. The record is from RNAcentral.
UAACAUCCGGAAACGGGUGCUAAUACCGCAUUAGUUUUCUUGGUCGCAUGAUACGGGAAAGGAAAGACGGCCUUUGUGCUGUCGCUUAUGGAUGGACCCGCGGCGUAUUAGUUAGUUGGUGAGGUAACGGCUCAACCAAGACGAUGAUACGUAGCCGACCUGAGAGGGUGAUCGGCCACAUUGGGACUGAGACACGGCCCAAACUCCUACGGGAGGCAGCAGUAGGGAAUCUUCCGCAAUGGACGAAAGUCUGACGGAGCAACGCCGCGUGAGUGAAGAAGGGUUUUUUCCGGAUCGUAAAACUCUGUUGUCAGAGAAGAACAAGUUGGAGAGUAACUGCUCCAGCCUUGACGGUAUCUGACCAGAAAGCCACGGCUAACUACGUGCCAGCAGCUGC